RNAcentral lists this transfer RNA (74 nucleotides) under Cynoglossus senegalensis (Senegalese tonguesole). RNAcentral describes it as "tRNA-Met". It matches the Rfam family "tRNA". Rfam says of the family: Transfer RNA (tRNA) molecules are approximately 80 nucleotides in length. Their secondary structure includes four short double-helical elements and three loops (D, anti-codon, and T loops). Further hydrogen bonds mediate the characteristic L-shaped molecular structure. tRNAs have two regions of fundamental functional importance: the anti-codon, which is responsible for specific mRNA codon recognition, and the 3' end, to which the tRNAs corresponding amino acid is attached (by aminoacyl-tRNA synthetases). tRNAs cope with the degeneracy of the genetic code in two manners: having more than one tRNA (with a specific anti-codon) for a particular amino acid; and 'wobble' base-pairing, i.e. permitting non-standard base-pairing at the 3rd anti-codon position. Lineage: Eukaryota; Metazoa; Chordata; Actinopteri; Pleuronectiformes; Cynoglossidae. The record is from RNAcentral.
UGAUAGGGUAAGCUAAAAAUUAAGCUCUUGGGCCCAUACCCCAACCAUGUAGGUUAAAAUCCUACCUCUAACAU